UGUUAACAGCAGUGCUACUUAGCUUGAUCAGGUCUCGUUCGUUUCAAAGCUUCACUGGGUUCAGUUCUUUCAAAACUGUUGGCAGUAUAUUUCAGAAGGAGUCUCGAUUAUUAAGACCCAAUCCUGUUAUCCAAUCUGAAGAAGAGGCCACAGCAGGACGGAUCAAGUAUAUUGCAUAGAAGGGAUCCAGUGUCAGCUGUCAGAAAUCACAGCCUCACAGCCAGCACCCCCACAAAUGUGAAAAUGAAAGCACUCACCACCUGUGGUGGGAGCAGAGCGAGAGAGUGGGAAAGGACGUGGGAGAGGAAGAAAGAGGAGCGAAGGGAAAGACAACUGCUCAGAGCGGUUCUUAUCUGGAGUUCAGUGCAGGUCUGAGCCGCUUCAGGUAAAACAGAUGCUUCACAACCUGAAGGCGUUUGUUCAGAAGCUCCUGAAGAACAUCACAACAAAAUCAGCAGUAGGUCAAUCACAAGGACAUGGGCCAUUCUACAAAAACAGUUUUAUUUAUU
This is a long non-coding RNA of Hippoglossus stenolepis (Pacific halibut), 509 nucleotides long. RefSeq lists it as uncharacterized. Lineage: Eukaryota; Metazoa; Chordata; Actinopteri; Pleuronectiformes; Pleuronectidae. The record is from RefSeq and is a predicted model, not a curated record. The transcript has 4 exons.